Haplochromis burtoni (Burton's mouthbrooder) is the source of this 679-nucleotide long non-coding RNA. RefSeq lists it as uncharacterized. NCBI's taxonomy places the organism in Eukaryota, Metazoa, Chordata, Actinopteri, Cichliformes, Cichlidae. The transcript is spliced from 3 exons. The record is from RefSeq and is a predicted model, not a curated record.
CAUCGGCUUUAAAAUCUGUACCUGAUCCUGAGAGUUGUUGUUGUGGCGGCUGAAAAGCUGCAGCCGUGUGUGUUUGUAACAGCAACCAAGUGUAAGUAUGAAUAAAGAUUGUGCUGAAAAGCAUUAAACUGUGGACGAGUCUGCUGUGGAGCUGCUACACUUUCUUUUCUCAUGGUAACCAUGAUAUUGUAAUAUUUCUCCCAGAGAAACUUUGUGGAUGAAUGCUGGGCUGCGCUGAGCCAGAGAGUAGAAACGUUGGCGUCUGUUAUUGAGCAGAUUUUGGAAACCCUGGCUGGUCUGAGUUACUGGGAACUUGAGGUUUUCAAGGAAGUCCUGCAUAAACUUCAUUACAAACAUUAGUCAGACAUCCAAAGAAUCAUCUACACGAGGACAGACCUGCAGGACACGGUGUUUUUCAUGGUCCUGACUUACGGUGAGCGGUCAGUGGAGGAGACCAUGGAGGGUUUAAACGAGAUGAAGGGGGCUGAUCUGGCUCAGAGGCCGUCAGACUGCAGCCCAGAACCCAAAAAGAAACACUCUGUGGAUGAACGACGCUCUGCACUGAUCCACAAAGUGAGUCAUGUCACAUCUCUGAUUCAGUACAAGACAGCAGGCUGAAAGUCAGAGGACUAAAGUAUCAUCAGUUCUCAUGUUGAGUCAUUUUUCUCAUGAUUUCUGC